Camelus dromedarius (Arabian camel) is the source of this 2196-nucleotide long non-coding RNA. RefSeq lists it as uncharacterized. NCBI's taxonomy places the organism in Eukaryota, Metazoa, Chordata, Mammalia, Artiodactyla, Camelidae. The record is from RefSeq and is a predicted model, not a curated record. The transcript is spliced from 3 exons.
UCCUAUUUUACAGGUGAGGGAAACGAGGCCCAGAGAGGUCCCGGAACCUGUCCAAAGGUGGCCUUUGAAACCAAGUCCUCCUGGAUCUUCGCACAGAACUCUGCUUGCUUCUGCAAGGCUUUGUGAUGGCCAGCCUUUGUUUCCUCUGUUGGGCCUCUGAAAAACCCCAGACCAUCCGAGUAUCAAGCAAUCACAGAGUGACAGGCUGCCAGAGUGAAUGGGCACCGAGAGAACACGCGGUCAUCCCAUGUGUGUGUUAGACGAGCAGCCUGGGCUGGGCGCUACCUGGCUGAUACUCGCGGGACAGGUAGAGUGAGUCACAGGCAGGCAGCGAAGCCGAUGCUGAAAAUGAGCCUCACAUCUGGACGGGAGAGUUGAUUCCACUCGGUGCCCCCACCCGAGAGUGGAAGCUGCUGACUUUAACAUCUUAUUUGCGUGGUCUCCUGGGGGAAAGACCUUGUAAGUUUGGUUUCACAAGUGACCUGCUAGACCAGUUUCACUAGGGUUCUGCACAAUAUGUGACUCCCCUUCCUCCCGUCUCGACUUACUAAUAGCAAUUGAAAUGAUGGCGAUACUCAGCUAUCAUUUGCGGAGUGCCUAUUAACUGACAUCAGAGAAGGGAAGAGGGACAUGGGGUGAAAUCCAGAGGAAACCAGGCUCGGGUUUUUGGGAAUGUUCUCAGACUCUCUCCCAGUCACGUAUUUAAUUCCUCCAGCAACAAACUUGACGACACAUGAGAAAUGUCAUCUACCAAGGGACCUUACCCAAGCCUAAGGGUCCAAGGUUUUUGUCUGGGGUCAGUCCUGUGGGUUCCCUCUGCCUGGCAGGCACCCAAACUCCAGGCUCCCAGAAGGAAAUCAGAUGUUCAGUAUGAACCACACUGUUUGUACAAACAGCUCAGUACAGUGAGCCAUUCAUCAUCUCAGGACUGGUGAGAAACUACCCCAAACCCAUGUUCCUCAAGGCCAUCAGAGGGCCGGACUUUCUGAAACGGCAGUCUCAGACCUGCUACAUCUAUGCUUUUCUGCGCAAUCCACCUCCUCAGUCUUUGGCCAAAGGCAUCUUUGCAGCAAAAUUAUUACCCCUAGGAGCCCAUGCAGCAGGGUGAGACCACCCUGCAGGGCUGAUCUCAGUCACGCUCUUCUGAGCUUCACCAGUUCAGGCCAAGCCGAGUAACCAUAAAUGUCUGUUUUAGAAAUCCAGGUAGCUGUCUCUUUAAGUUUGAGUGUGAGCCUUUUUUACCUGUCAGAGGCAGCAGCUGAGUUGAGCACAGCUCUGGAUAGUAAGUUGAAGCUGACCCAAAGGCUUCUGAGGGCUGAGGUGGUGACAGGAGGUGCAGCCCCAGAGGGUGCACAUACAAGCCCUGCAAAGAAAGAGCUGACAGUUGUUGAGGUUCCCCAAGCAGGCCAUCCAUUAAGCAGGCAGUACCAUAUGUUUACAGGGCCUCCCAGUGUGGCCUCCCAUCAUGAGGCUUCCUCCUAAGGCCACCAGGUCCUUCCAGUUAAUUCAGUUCAGUCCUCAGAUUCGGAGGGACUGCCCGAGGCUGGCAGUUACAAGCGGUUUGCUCGUCUGUGACACCAGCUCACCCGCCUGGCGAGUGGACAGCACCUGGAGGUGUUCUCCGUGGGCCGUGCAGAGCUGCCCACCCCUGCUGUCCCACAGUCUGUGCUGUCAGGGGUGAUCAAGGCUUCGUGUGAGUUGAAAGCUUCCCAGCUGCUUGGAAAGGCAGCUCAGGGAGUUUUCCCUCAGAAAGAGGGGAAGCUUCCAGGGACAGUCCUGAAAAACGGAGCACUUGUGCUCCCCCGAGUCUCCCAAGUUGCUGAGGGUUUUGUUUUACCUUCUAUUGUUUCAAACUCAGUGUGUCCCAUUUAGUCAUCAUAACUUUACAUAUUAAAGUCAACUCUUACUGCUUCCCAAACCCUUCACCUGGAAGGGUUGUACGGGAGAGGGACAAAAGCAUUCUCACAGAACACUUUUUAAAAAAAUUUUAAUUGAAGUACAGUCAGUUUACAAUGUUGUGUCAAUUUCUGGUAUACAGCAUAAUGUUUCAGUUAUACGUAUACAUGCAAAUACUUGUUUUCAUAUUCUUUUUCACUAUGGGUUACUACAAGGUAUUAAAUAUCCUUCCCUGUGUUAUACAGAAGAAAUUUGUUGUAUAUCUAUUUUAUAUAUAGUAGUUAGUAUCUGCAAAUCUCA